Long non-coding RNA from Equus caballus (horse), 3106 nucleotides. The record is from Ensembl. Lineage: Eukaryota; Metazoa; Chordata; Mammalia; Perissodactyla; Equidae.
CGUGAGUGGGAGCCCGUAGCCUUUCCUUUUCCAGACCCGGGCUCCCCCCGCACAGCUGGUUCCCAUUAGAGCAGGGCUCAGCGCCCCUGCUUCCACGAGCUCAUCAGGCAAUGCGGAAACCCAAGCCGUCACUCAUCUCACAUUCCAGCCCUGAGCAGGAGAGCAGCCAGUUCCUGCCUCGUCCGCCCUGACCCUCACUCCGCCAGCUCUUGGGACCUACCUGCGAGAAGGAGAGGCAGCAGCUGCCCAGGACCCCCAGCAGCCCACCUGGGAGCCAGGUAUGAUCUCUUCUGGAGAAAGGAGUUCACAUAUCACGGGCUUCAGAGUCAUCAACCUACAGAUCCAGUUCCCUGGCCUCCCAGGCUUCUGGCCUUGUUGUGGUGUCCAGUAAUUGGUAUUUGUGCCUUGCAGCCCAGGUCCAUUACAUGGGUCAGAGCAGGCCAUGAGGGGAAGGCCAGGAGUGGCAUUGCCCUCCUCCUGCAGCUCAGACCAGGACGUCCCAUGCCAGCUGCUCCACCUGUGGGUCCAGCAAGCACCCUCCAGCAUCUGGGAGCUGGAGUCUGGAUUCUGCCAAGAGGAAAUGGGGUUCACGGGGCCUCCUGGACCCUGAGCCUGGCCUCUCCUGCCACCUCUGCCCCAGGAAGCUCCAGCAUGUUGUCCCAAGCCGAGGCCUUGCCUGCUACCCUCUACCAGACCAUCACGUCCCAGUGGCUCAACAAUGUUCCGUGGAUGUCCAGGCUGCAUGGGCUGCCGCACCUCACCCAGGGCUGGUCCACCCCACCAGGGCUGUUCCACCCUACCAGGGCUGCUCCACCCCAUCAGGGCUGCUCCACCCAGCCACCAGGGCUUCUCCACCCCACCCAGGGCUGCUCCACCUCACUGGGGCUGCUCCAUCAAGCCACCAGGGCUGCUCCACCACACAGGGCUGCUCCAGCCAGCCACCAGGGCUUCUCCACCCCACCCAGGGCUGCUCCACCUCACUGGAGCUGCUCCAUCAAGCCACCAGGGCCACUCCACCACACAGGGCUGCUCCACCCCACCAGGGCUGCUCCACUCCACCCAGGGCUUCUCCACCCAGCCACCAGGGCUGCUCCACCACACAGGGCUGCUCCACCCAGGCGCCAGGGCUUCUCCACCCCACCAGGGCUGCUCCACCACACUGAGGCUGCCAGUGAGGCCCUACGUGCAUCUGAGGUGGAGCCUCCAGCUCAUUCAUCAAAAACUUUUGGGGCCGGGCCAGGAGCCCUCCCCACGACAACAGACAGGUCGGCAGCCACCCCUUCCUGCCCUCCACACACGGUGGGCCAGCUGCUAGGAGAGGCCCCGUGCUCUGCAGCAGCCAGGCACCAGCUCUCCAGCCCAUCCCCUCUGCCUCAACACCCUCCCUCCGCCCAAGUCCAAGGCCCCAGCCAGCCGCCAUGACCUGGCCCAGGAUGCUGGGUCCCUCUGCCCCACCAAGACCACUGGCUCACUGUUGCCCCUUCCAGGGGCCAGGAGGGCAGGGUCCAGGUGUGCAGACUCAGGGGUGAGUGUGCUCAGCAAACAAACAGCAAAGACUUUCUCCUGCGCAGAGCUGAUCCUGCCCUCCCAGUGCCACAUGGAGAGCAGGCUGCGUGAGGACAGGCACAGCCUGGGUCUCACUUUAUCAGAUUUUGAGCAUAAGGAAAGAAUUAAGCUUAGAGGGGGUACCUUUCCAGAUGGAAGCAGAUUUUUGUUUUGGAAGCUUCUCCUGUGGAAAUCACGGACAGCUGAUACAGACAGGCAUGCUUUCUUCUGAAACUGCAGAGUGAUGUACUUCUUUCUUCAGGUGUGUGCUCGCUCGGAUGGCACCUGGAGGUAAACGCCUGCUUUCGUGAGAGUCUGCGAUUUAGUCAUCUAGCACACCAGCCCCAGCCGUAAGCAUGCACAUGGUGCCCGGCGCUCUCUCCAAAAUAAGACACUGGUCAGGGUUGGGAGCCAAGUGCAGAGUCCUCCAUAGGGACAGCUGAUGUUCUUGCGCAGGACUGUGCCUGUCCCAGGCACCAGGGCCUCUUCCUCACAGGAAGGGUCUCCUCUCCCCAGGACCCCGCUCCAGGCUUCUGCUUCCUGCUGCCUCGCCCCCACCACCAUGAGACACUCUGUUCAGAGACAGAUCCAAGGUGGGGGCUUCAAGGUUUAGGGCAAUAAAACACAAUUUCUUCCUGGUACAUGCCUCGGGAGCCCGCCCCAUGCCGUCCAACUGGCCUCAUGCAGCCACAGCCCUAAACGGGUUUUGGGGCCAACCAUGCCCCAGACAUGCUCUUACAGGUGCAAAAGCUGUCCAUUUGACCACUGGUGGGCCCCCUGGAAGAGUGGGUCUCACCGGAGCACCCAGGCCCUAAUUGGCAUUCCAGUGUCCCCUCAGCCUGUUUGGGUCUUGCCCUGGAGCAAACAGCCUGUCCUCCUCUCAGGCCUGCAGGCUUCCAUGAAGAGCCGGUCAGCAGUGGGACUGCAAAACACAGACCACAGCCUUCUCUCUGCUCCCGACAGUGGGUACCCUCUAGCACAUGAUCACUUCCCUCCAGUUCCAGUGGCUCUGUGCAAGGAGAGAGAAGACCCAAGUCUUGGCCAGACACUGUGAGCACCUCUGACUCAGUCUCCCAGAGCCUCCACGGACAUUUCUGGAUAGGAUCCCAGGCACUGGGGAGGUGGGGUUUGCUCCCCACAGUCCGUCAGUCCAUCCUGAGAUCCUGAGGCAGUGGGUUCACUCCCCGCAGUAUGUCAGUUCAUCCUGAGACCCUGGGGAGGUAGGCUUUCCUCCCUGCAGUCUGUCCGUCCAUCCUGAGAUUGUGGGGAGGUGGGCUUUCCUCCCUGCAGUGUCAGUCCCUCCUGAGAUCCUGGGGAAGUGGGCUUCGCUUCCUGCAGUCUGUCAGUCCAUCCUGAGAUCGUGGGGACAUGGGCUUCACUCCCUACAGUCUGUCAGUCCAUCCUGAGAUCGUGGGGACGUGGGCUUCACUCCCUGCAGUCUGUCAGUCUAUUCUGAGAUCGUGAGGAGGUGGGCCUCACUCCCCUCCCUCUGUCAGUCCAUCUUGAUAUCUGUCCACAGCGCUCAGCCCUGGUCACACUGCAGAGUCUCAGAUGCCCCUGG